GGGCAUUCUGAGGGCAGUAAACAGAGUCAGUCAUAAGCAGGACCUUUAGAUUGCUGCUAAGAUAACUUCCUCUCUCUAUAAAGACUUCUACAAACCAGGAGAAUUGAACUCAAUGAUAUUAGAGAUGAUGGAACAGCAGCUGUCCCAUGAAGAAAAGAUCAAAGGAAUACAGCCAAAAAUGGCAGGAGAAAAGUAUUAUUCGAGCAACAAGUAAGCCUGAGCUUUGAUGUGGAUUUGGACGAGGUGAUUCAGCUGUCUUUGGUCCUUUGCUCCUACCCCAGAGCUUCCUUAUCCUCUUGGAGCUGCUGUUCUCGGGGCUCUGCAAUGAAUCAAGUGCCGGGCUCUCCUCCACUAUGUCCUCCUCUGAUGUCUGCCUCGGACUCUAUCUCAGCCUUUUCUGCCCUCCAGUGAGACUUUUUCAAGGAUGGCAUACUUGUCAGAAAGAAUCAAGUCAGUGACUAUUAAAUGAUUGAUAAGGUGCACUGUAUUGCUGGUUAUUUUUUCACUCCCUUAUCCAUUAUCCAUCACUCAUGAAUGGAGCCCCAGCUGUGCAUCAAUCACUAUCGGGUAUGGAUGUUACUUAUAUGAAGACCUUGCCCUCAUGAUCAAAGCUGGAGACACAGAGAAUUAACAGUUAACAAUAACCAUGCUUCCAGUAGUUAAACUCUGAGACAGAGCAAAGCAGGUUUGCUAGGGCAGUAGACAGUAGUUUUCAGACUAUAAGAGCAUUAUUUUCAUCUCUGUAUCCUUUUUUCAUAGCAUAAUGGCUGGCCCAUGAGCGACAUGCCAUGGAUAUUUUGGCCUAAGCUUUUAUCAAUGAGAUACUGAGAUGGGCUGAUGAGAACAAUAUUUGGGGUCUCUCCCUGUUCCUAUUAUAUCACUACACUUUUUGGGAAAGAGAAAUCUCUGCCUUAAGUGAACUGCUUCUGCCCAUGAGAGUAGAGCUGAAAAGUAGAUUGUGCUCUAUUUUUUGUCUUCUUCUUAAAAUUGGUUCUGAGUUGGAGAAGGAAAAAAAGACUUGUUAGACAAUAAGACAGUAACAUGGAGGUUGGAAUAAGUUCCUUUUGCUCAGCUCUGCUCUUACUAAAAAAGGCCACUGGGGCCUGGGAGGUGCCAUGAGGCCAUUUGGCACUGUCCCUAGCAGGGAAUAGAC
This 1153-nucleotide long non-coding RNA is filed under the name Sus scrofa (pig). RNAcentral's name for it is "lncRNA (ENSSSCG00070006127.1)". The record is from RNAcentral. Lineage: Eukaryota; Metazoa; Chordata; Mammalia; Artiodactyla; Suidae.